RNAcentral lists this ribosomal RNA (253 nucleotides) under uncultured bacterium. Its description in RNAcentral is "partial 16S ribosomal RNA". It matches the Rfam family "Bacterial small subunit ribosomal RNA", at positions 524 to 776 of the family's 1533-position model. The record is from RNAcentral.
UACAGAGGGUGCGAGCGUUAAUCGGAAUUACUGGGCGUAAAGCGCACGCAGGUGGCUAAGUCAGUCGAUUGUGAAAGCCCUGGGCUUAACCUGGGAAUUGCAGUCGAUACUACUUAGCUAGAGUAUGGGAGAGGGCAGUGGAAUUCCCGGUGUAGCGGUGAAAUGCGUAGAUAUCGGGAGGAACAUCAGUGGCGAAGGCGGCUGCCUGGCCCAAUACUGACACUCAGGUGCGACAGCGUGGGGAGCAAACAGG